CUGCCUUUGGCAUGUCCCUGCCACCUUGUCACUCCUUUUCCAGGUGCAGCCAGUUAGCAUGCAGGUGGGGAUGUGGGUGGGGGACAGCACCAUCACUGGAUUAACUGCCCCAUUUUACAGAUGGGAAAAUAAGCCCGAGGGAGGAAGAGGUUCACAGACUGGUGCCUCUCGUGCUCCAUUUUUCCUGAAGCAGAGGGAAGGAGGUCACUGAGAGUCACAAAGCGUGGGGCGCUGCAGUUGGAGGCACAGUCCCUGUCCCCAGGUGGACUUGACCUUCUGUGGCUGUGUCUGUGGCCUGCUUCAGAGAAGGCUUGGUGAUGCGAGAACAAUGAAACCAUUCGCCAAGACGGUCGCAGUCGAGGAGAGUGGCUGGGCUGCUGGGCCGUGAGCCAGCAGUGUGAGCUGUGCGUUUCCAUCGUGGCUCCGUCUGGAGAGCUGCUCAGAAACGCGCAGGCAGAGGGCCCACCCACGGCGCAAGUGGGGUGCGUAGGUAUCCUGAGGCCGGGCUGCCCCGCUGUGCACCUCAUCUCGUUGCCUGUCUCUGGGGACCGUUUGACCUGGCCCUCAGGGCAGGGACUUCCUCCUUCUUAGCAGGGUCCAGUGCUGCCUCCCAUCUGUCACCCAUGCUAACAGUGGCCCCAGCCGAGGGGACACACGCACCCAGCUCGUGUCCCUCUUCCCAGCCAGCCUUCUUUGUCUUGAACACUGGUGAUCAUCACUGGUCACGGUCUCAGUCUACCAGGCUGGAGCAUCUCCUCAGGCCAGCCUGUGCUUGGGCGCAGGCCCCCGGAUAGGGACCCACACUGGCUAUUCAUACCCUCUGUGUUAGUGUUAGUCACUUUCCCUUCCCCUGGGAUAAAAUACUUGACACCCAAAAUUUAAAAGAGGAGGUGUUUAUUUGGCUCACGGUUUCAGAGGUCCAGUGCAUAGUAGGCUGGCUCCAAGGCAGAAACAGCAUGGUAGAAGGGCCUGGGUGCAGGAAACCUGGUCACAUCAUGGUGGCCAGGAGGCAGAGAGAGAAGGGAGGAGCUGAGGACAAGAACAGACCCUUCCAGGUUAUGGGCCUGGUGACCUGACCUACCCCUCCCCCAGGCCCCACCUCCUGACAGCAUAGAACUCUUCCGUGGAUGAACACAGCGCCCCUGUGAUCCAGUCACCUCCAAAAGCCCCACCUCUGCACAUGGGAGACUUUGGGGGGAUAUUUUAGAUCUAAAUUAUACCACAACGGUCUUUGCUGUCACCAUCUCUGCUCCCCACCAUGUGGUUUGCCUGCUUCUAGACUCGUGAAGCCCAGGGCUUUGUCUCUUGUACUACUGCCACAGGGACAGUCAAGACACAGGCUAAGGUACUAUUUCUUGCAUGGAAGGAUAGCCAAACAAAAGUCCUGAGACCUUGUCCUCAGGGAGCUCUUUGGCAGAUAGGCCCUGAAGGCUCCAGAGGAAUCGGGGUGGGCGUUCCCAGAUGUGAAAGAUGACCAUGGGCCAGAGUGGCCAAGGAAGGCUGCUCGGAGGAGGGGGCAUUUAAGAGAAGCACUGGGGAUGGAGAGCUUUGGCUACUGCAGGGCAGGGAAGAGGAGGAGGAAGGAUAUGCUGGGCGGUGGAUGGGCAGGAAGAGAGGAAGGGGUGCGUGUGGAGGUUCAGGGGCAGGUCAGCCAGCGCCAGGGACUUCAAGGGAGUAAUGGUGGAGACGUCUACAGGGAUGGUCGGGACCCAAGGGAAGGCAGGGUUGGAGGGAACUUAUCCUGCAGAUGCAGAUUGUGCUGAACAGGAGGGUAGGGACAGAGCAGUGUUUUAGGAGAUUAGUCUGGUGACAGGGAGCUGCCAGGAUUGGAGGAGACUGGAGCCCGGCUAAUUACACAGGCCUGGGACUCCCCUCACGUACCCUCAGUACCAACCUGUCCCCUGCAGUGGUGGGGAGGGCUGGGGUGGCUCCUGCUCCUCCCAGCCUGUUCACACCAAGGAGGGAGGAGGCAGCAGAGGACUUUGAAGGUGGGGCUGGGUGCUGGCUCGGCAGCCUUGUCCUCAACUGCAAAGUAGGGAGAUCCAGCGGCACCCUCACCCCAUCCUGGCCCAGCUGAGGAGCAAAUGAAGCCCAAGGAGGGGACGUGCCCUGUGUGCUGACAUUCUGGAUUUCAUCCCUCCUAGAAAGUCUGGCCAUGCUGGUGUGGCCCAUAGGUGGGCUCUGGCUUGCCCAGGUUCUCUCAGUUGGAGCCCAUUUGGGGAUCUGAGAUUUGUAACCAAGCUGUGUGGCCGCAAGCAGCAACCUCCGUUUUCCAGGCCUCAGUGUUCGGCUCUGUGUAUGGGCGCACCCCAAAACUCCUGCUCCUGCCCCAUGGCUCACAGGGAGUGUGUGCUGGGCUCGGUGCUAGGAGAGCGAGAGGUAGGCCUGGGUGUGGCUAGGGGCGUCCUCUGUGGGCAGGGCCGCGAUCGCCUGGCAGGACUGUCCUCAUGACAGUGUUACAACGCUGGCUUGUAAGCCUUGGGGCCAAAGCCGAGAGGUUCCACUGCGCGCCUCUGGCUCUCUGGUAACUUCUAGGGUCAUUUUGCAUUUACUGGUGUGUCCUGUGUGCCGCCCCCUUGCUGGUCUCCUUGGUAACUCACCCUUAUCAGAUCCCUGUCUGUGCCCCCUCUGAGCGACACUCAGGUCCCAGCACAAGCUGCAGGCAGCCUCCAGGUAACUUGCUUUUCGGUAAGAUGGGGUUUGGGGUUUUUUAAAAACAGAUUUCGUUUCUCUGAUAACAGAGCCCUUGAGAGAGUGAGGAGACAGCACCGGAAACAGUACCCACACCGCUGUUUCAAUAUGAAGCAGGCGGUUGAGGGGCUGAGUUGGCAGCCAAUAGGGGAGAGGCCACUCAGUGGGGAAACUGAGACUCAGAGAGCAAAAGGGACUGUUUCUGAAGCUGCCCAGAAAGAGACUGGAUGGGUGCAGGAAUUAUUUUAUUUUUCCUAACCACUGCCACUGCCACUGCCACUACCACAUGCAGGAGACUUGUUAUGCUUCUUAAAGGGUGACAAGCAACUUGUGUGCAAAUUAUCUCGUUUAAUUUACCAGUGAACCCUGAGAGGCAGGGACUGUUUGCAUCUCCCCUUGACACCCCUUGUGCAUGGUUCUGGUGACAGGUGAUCACUAGACCAUGCAACAGUAGACUGUUGGUGGCAGGAUUUGAACUCAGGCCUCCCACUGUCCUUGGUCACCCUGCUGUGCCCCAGUCCCUGGGCUGCCCAAUGCAGCAGCGGGACAUCUUCCUCUUUCUAGAAGGUGUGGGUGCAGAGGAUCUUCUGUAUUGGGGAGAUAAAGGAGCCCGUUUGGGAUGAUUUUUAUCAGCUCUAGCAAGCUGGUUUGACUUACAGGAAAAAGCCGAUUUGCAUUUGGGGAGAAGCUGCAUGUUAAGGCUGCGGUGAGCACCGGGCGGAUUUAUAAAUAAACAGUGGGCUAAGGGCAUUGUCUGUCCCCAGCCAUACAAUGCUGGCCUCAUAUUGACACCACAGCCUGUUCCGCACGUCAUGGCUGCCCUUUGGGCAGAAAGGCAUGCUUGAGUAAGAGAAGCCACUGGAAAUGCCAAGGAGCCCAGCCUCCGACCCAGUGUCCUGGGCAUCCCAAGCCCCAGCAAGUGCAGAGCUGCUGGUGAUGACAAAGGGACAUUCGAGGCCUGGGGCCUCCUGUAGACCCUGAGGGAGCCCUUGACUGGGUCUGGGAGUCUGGAUCUGGUACUGAGCCCAGUCUGAGCCCACAUGCCGCCCCAGCAGGCUUCCUGGCUCCUGAGGCCUUGAUCUUUGGCUCUGAAGUGAGUCCUUCUCUCCUCCCAGUCUCCUUUGAGAAUCUAGUGAGAUGAAGGCAACAGGAGAUGGACCAGGUGUCCCUGCCCUGCCAGCACAGUGGGUGACUCUGGACAAGUCCAGGGCCUCUCUGGGCCUCACUGGGCCUCACUGUCCUCUUUAGAAGGCAAUGAAGCUGCAUGCUGGUCAGAAGUCCAGGACCUGUGGGGGCUGCUCCUGCACCUGGGGGGACCCUGAGAGGUCUGUUCCUGAACACUGGGGACCCCAGGAGUACUGCUUACACUCCUUCCUCGGCAUACAGGUACUCCCUCCAGCCUGGAUUCAUAUCCCUUGUCUUCCAUCCUGGCACCUCAGGCAUCCGAGGUCCACUCUCAGCACUCCCUCUUUAUGGGUGUAGUCGGAACAAUUGGGGUGGUUAGGAGGAUGAAAUAUAGUAAUGUAUGGUUAGUGCUCAGCAUAAAGCCGGCCCCAUGGUGAAUGUUCAUAAAUAAAUUAUGUCAGUAAUAUUUAUUUCAGGGGGAAAAAACCUGUUUUCAAGGCAGAGCACUAUCUACUAAGUUGAAUAUUCUCCUGAUUUAAUUCCAGGUGGUACUAAAUAACAAUAAUAGCCAUCACGCCCAUGGCUGGAAGGCUGCCCCAUGAGGCCAACGCUUAGCCCCACAGGCCUCCUGACGGUGGCCCUCCUGGUGCCCAGCUGACCUCCCUGUGUAGUUAAUCAUGGUUUUGUCUCUUAUCUGGCUGCUCUGAGGAUAGACGUGAAGUAUCACCUGUCCCUCCGUGCGCCUGGCCAUCACCUCAGGCCUGGGAUGCCUUAACUAGUGCCACCUUGAGGCAGCCCCCCCAUACCCAUUCACCCAAAGACCCCCCUAGACCCCUGCAUGCCCAGGUACCACAAAUCUUUCCUCCUCCGAGGCCUGUCCUCAUUCUAGGUUUCUCUUGGGUCUCUGUCUUGGGGUUGCUGUCUGGUGUCCCGGAACCGAAGUCACCAUGGUCAGUGAGGACCAUUAGCAGAGAGCAGCAUUAAAGGCCCUUUGGGUGUCCUGCUCCUGGGGACUUAGGGAUACCUCUCCUUGGUCCUGAACCUAAAGGCCCGAGAGACAGGUGCUCCCCCCAUCACCUCUAACACCUGUUUAGUGGUAGAGGCGAUCAGGCAAAACAUAAAGCACUCAUGUGUUUUGCUUAAUGUGGGGCUGGGAUUUGAACCUGGCUCCUGACCUGACCAAAAGCCCACAGCUACCUGCUCCCACCUGCUGCCUCCAUGGACUCCUGGGGAAAGUGGAAUGUGGAACAGGUCCGUAGGGAGGGCCAGCAAGUCCCUAGGGGUGAGUGCUUUCGAAGGGAGCCGGGCGUGGGAGGUUUCUCAGACCUCCGGGAGUGCAGCCGGGGCUGGAAGAGGUCCCGGGGCUUGGGAACCAGCAGCCAUCUUCAGCCAGACCCUACCCACUCUCAACAGGGACCUGGCAGGGGCCAGCACCCUCCUAGGCUCUUGGGUCAGAACAGAGACCAGAGCAGACAAGAUCCCUGUCUGCAGGAGUCAAAGGGAGAAGUUCCUUUAGCCAACUGGGACCCUUCUAUAGAUUUGCCAAGUGCUCAGAAAGAAGCUAGGUGCUGGAUGGGAAAUUCCAGGAGGUGGGCGGGGAGCCUUUAUAUAAGGAAAGCUUUUCCAAGAGGGGGCCACUUGAUGAUGGAGGUAGGAAGGGGACAGCAUUGCCAGGGCCAAGAAACUGAAAGCAGGCCUGGGUGGCUGGGGACAAAGGGCCAGGGACACAGCAGCUGGGGACGAAGUAGACCCCACGCACACCCUUCAACUUCACUUGGCCCCAGAAACAACAGUGCUGCCAGGCCUGCACCGGAUGCGGCCCAGGUCCAGACAUGGCCAGCACUGCUGGUGGGUUCCACGUGGGGCCUGCUCCCUGCCCAGACAGGGGCACAUGACAAUGACAUCAUGGCUAUUUCUGCCUGCCGCUGGCCCCCUCCCAUCUUGGUAGCAUGAAUGGGAGGCCUGGGUCAGCUCUUGCUCUGCUUUGCUGAAUACCACCUCCUACUCCUGUGUCACUGAGGGCAGAAGCUAAUGCCAAGGGGCACAAGGGCCAUUGCCUCAGGAUCUCCAGAUAAGUGCAGGUUCCCAGCCUGGGGUCACCCUGGCCCAUACCCUUUAUUUAUUUACUCUGGUCCUUGCUCAGAGCCCAGAAGCGAGCUGCCUGGAAUGAAAUGUGAAGAACUCGAAAUGAUAAUGAAAUCAAUUGGACUGUUUCCCCAGUAAUUCUAGAGACUGACGCAUCAUUAAUGUUGGUAAUACAGAGCCUGUCAGAUCACAAACUUCUCAAUAAAUGUGCAGCUGGCAAGCUCUGAUAGAAAUUGGAGGCAAGCAGAGAAUGAGAUUUGGGGCCUUUGAUAUAUGGGGUGUCAGUGGCAUGGUGAAGUUUUUAUCAAUUUCUGUCACUUUGGGCUUUUGUGCUCACUACAUAUGUGGUCUCCGUAGCACCUCUUAGAGGCUGCCUGGAUGCUAACUGCACCCCCACCCAAUAGUGUAAGGAAGAGGAGCUGGUGGGGGGCCUUGACAUGCACCCUCACCCUUCUGUGGGGCCCCUUCCCACGAGCUUCUCAGGCCCGUGAGCCAGAGGGCUUGAACCUGAGACGCCUGUGGGUGUUGCAGCCACUCCACAGCCUUGAGUCUGUCCCUGUGAAUUAAAGACACCCCUAGGCCCCAUCCAGGGUACGCCAGCUGCCUGGAUGGAAGCCUAGGGUUUGGGAGUGUAGGGGUGGUUUCUCGGCCAUUCCUCCCAAUGGAUCAAGAGUCAGGG
Molecule: long non-coding RNA, 6580 nt
Filed under: Heterocephalus glaber (naked mole-rat)
Lineage: Eukaryota; Metazoa; Chordata; Mammalia; Rodentia; Bathyergidae
Description: lncRNA (ENSHGLG00000039450.1)
Source: RNAcentral